UACGUAGGCAGCAAGCGUUGUUCGGAAUUACUGGGCGUAAAGCGCACGUAGGCGGCUUUGUAAGUUAGAGGUGAAAGCCCAGGGCUUAACCCUGGAAUUGCCUUUAAGACUGCAUCGCUAGAAUCGUGGAGAGGUGAGUGGAAUUCCGAGUGUAGAGGUGAAAUUCGUAGAUAUUCGGAAGAACACCAGUGGCGAAGGCGACUCACUGGACACGUAUUGACGCUGAGGUGCGAAAGCGUGGGGAGCAAACAGG
Molecule: ribosomal RNA, 253 nt
Filed under: uncultured bacterium
Lineage: Bacteria
Description: partial 16S ribosomal RNA
Rfam family: Bacterial small subunit ribosomal RNA
Source: RNAcentral